CCGCGGUAAUACAGAGGGGGCAAGCGUUGUUCGGAAAUACUGGGCGUAAAGCGCACGCAGGCGGCGUCGUAAGUCAGGGGUGAAAGCCCGGAGCUCAACUCCGGAACUGCCUUUAAGACUGCAUCGCUAGAACGUCGGAGAGGUAAGUGGAAUUCCGAGUGUAGAGGUGAAAUUCGUAGAUAUUCGGAAGAACACCAGUGGCGAAGGCGACUUACUGGACGACUGUUGACGCUGAGGUGCGAAAGCGUGGGGAGCAAACAGG
RNAcentral lists this ribosomal RNA (262 nucleotides) under uncultured bacterium. RNAcentral's name for it is "partial 16S ribosomal RNA". It matches the Rfam family "Bacterial small subunit ribosomal RNA", at positions 515 to 776 of the family's 1533-position model. The record is from RNAcentral.